CAUGUCUUUUUGGGAAUAAUUUAAAGUUUAAUUUGCCCACUGAUNAAAUUAUUAAAGGGCUGCAGUAUUUUGACUUAACAAAGGUAGCAUAAUCAUUAGUCUCUUAAUUGGUGACUUGUAUGAAGGAUUGGAUGAGAUAUAUACUGUCUCUAAUUAAUUUAUAAAAUUUAAUUUUUUAGUAAAAAAGCUAAAAUAAUUUUAAAAGACGAGAAGACCCUAUAGAGUUUAAUAGUUUAUUUAAUUAUUAUUAAUUUGUAAAUUUUAAAAUUAAAAUUAAAUGAAUUAUUUUAUUGGGGUGAUAGAAAAAUUAAAUUAACUUUUUUUUUAUAUUAAACAUUAAUUUAUGAUUAUAUGAUCCAUUAUUAUUGAUUAUAAGAAAAAAUUACCUUAGGGAUAACAGCGUAAUUUUUUUUUUUAGUUCAAAUAGGAAAAAAAGUUUGCGACCUCGAUGUUGGAUUAAGAUAAAAUUUAAAUGCAAAAGUUUAAAAUUUUGAUCUGUUCGAUCAUUAAAAUCUUA
RNAcentral lists this ribosomal RNA (517 nucleotides) under Papilio ulysses morotaicus. Its description in RNAcentral is "partial 16S ribosomal RNA". Lineage: Eukaryota; Metazoa; Arthropoda; Insecta; Lepidoptera; Papilionidae. The record is from RNAcentral.